CGUUUGUGUUUGUAAUUUAUACGUGGUUCUCGUUUCUUGUUUUUUUAUUUAAUAUAGAUUAGACCAUUGGUUUUCCCGUUUGAAUGGUUUUACACUAGUAAUUUUGGGGCCCUUUAUAGCUUGUUGUUUCGGUGUGAGCCAAGGCUCUGUGUUGAAGGCCUAUUGACCUAUAAUGGUUUACUUUUUUUGAAUUGUUAUUUGGAUGGAGAGUUGUCUCAUUGGCACUCACACCACAUCUUCCUAUAUCUAUGAACUCAGAG
Molecule: long non-coding RNA, 260 nt
Filed under: Mytilus galloprovincialis (Mediterranean mussel)
Lineage: Eukaryota; Metazoa; Mollusca; Bivalvia; Mytilida; Mytilidae
Source: RNAcentral